UUAAGCAUAUCAAUAAGCGGAGGAAAAGAAACCAACAGGGAUUGCCCUAGUAACGGCGAGUGAAGCGGCAAAAGCUCAAAUUUGAAAUCUGGCUUCGGCCCGAGUUGUAAUUUGUAGAGGAUGUUUCGGGCACCGCCCCGGCGUAAGUCCCUUGGAACAGGGCGUCAUAGAGGGUGAGAAUCCCGUCUGGCGUCGUGGUAGGGCCCAUGUGAAACUCCUUCGACGAGUCGAGUUGUUUGGGAAUGCAGCUCAAAAUGGGUGGUAAAUUUCAUCUAAAGCUAAAUACUGGCCAGAGACCGAUAGCGCACAAGUAGAGUGAUCGAAAGAUGAAAAGCACUUUGAAAAGAGAGUUAAACAGUAUGUGAAAUUGUUGAAAGGGAAGCGCUUACAACCAGACUUGAGCCCGUCGGUUCCCCCUCGCUUCUGCGUGGGCUACUCCGGCGGGUCCAGGCCAACAUCGGUUCGGGUGGCUGGUCAAAGGCCCCGGGAAUGUACCUCACCUUCGGGUUAGGCUUAUAGCCCGGGGUGUCAUGCGGCCUACCUGGACCGAGGAACGCGCUUCGGCUCGGAUGUUGGCGUAAUGGUUGUCAGCGACCCNUCUUGAAACACGGACCAAGGAGUCGAAGAGCUAUGCGAGUGUUUGGGUGUCAAACCCGUACGCGUAAUGAAAGUGAACGGAGGUAGGAAGCUUCGGCUGCACUAUCGACCGAUCCUGAUGUUCUCGGAUGGAUUUGAGUAAGAGCAUAACUCUCCGGACCCGAAAGAUGGUGAACUAUGCCUGAAUAGGGUGAAGCCAGAGGAAACUCUGGUGGAGGCUCGCAGCGGUUCUGACGUGCAAAUCGAUCGUCAAAUUUGGGUAUAGGGGCGAAAGACUAAUCGAACCAUCUGGUAGCUGGUUCCUGCCGAAGUUUCCCUCAGGAUAGCAGUAACGUUUUCAGUUUUAUGAGGUAAAGCGAAUGAUUAGAGGCCUUGGGGUUGAAACAACCUUAACCUAUUCUCAAACUUUAAAUAUGUAAGAAGUCCUUGUUACUUAGUUGAACGUGGACAUUUGAAUGUAUCGUUACUAGUGGGCCAUUUUUGGUAAGCAGAACUGGCGAUGCGGGAUGAACCGAACGUGAGGUUAAGGUGCCGGACUGCACGCUCAUCAGACACCACAAAAGGUGUCAAUGCAUCUAGACAGCCGGACGGUGGCCAUGGAAGUCGGAAUCCGCUUAGGAGUGUGUAACAACUCACCGGCCGAAUGCAUUGGCCCUGAAAAUGGAUGGCGCUUAAGCGUGCGACCUAUACCUCGCCGUCAGGGUUGACAUGAUGCCCUGACGAGUAGGCAGGCGUGGAGGUUUGUGACGAAGCCUUGGGGGUGACCCCGGGUC
RNAcentral lists this ribosomal RNA (1370 nucleotides) under Chaetothyriales sp. RNAcentral describes it as "eukaryotic LSU rRNA". It matches the Rfam family "Eukaryotic large subunit ribosomal RNA", at positions 34 to 1429 of the family's 3401-position model. Lineage: Eukaryota; Fungi; Ascomycota; Eurotiomycetes; Chaetothyriales. The record is from RNAcentral.